UAGCCUGCCGGUUCGGCCAUGCGCAGUACGUGCCAGCCGGGAGCGAGCCGGCAUGGCGUCUGCCGGGCCGACCACGGGCGGCCAUGCGCAGUGGGUGCCCACCGGGAGCGCGCGCGGGCAUGCGCAGUGCGUGCCCGCCGAGCACAAGAACGCGACUGCGCGCUGCGGCUGUCGAGAGCGAGCUCGAGGCUGGGGCUGCAGAUUUCAUAAGUAGGCAACCCCGUGUACGUUAAUUUUGUUUCUCACACGAGACAGAGAGUACAUGUGGGGGAGAAUCAGAGAGCGACACACAGAAUCCGAAGCAGGCUCCAGGCUCCGAGCUGUCAGCACAGCGCGCAAUGCAGGGCUUGAACCAGCCUUAUUUAAAGGAUGAAGCGACCAGGCAUUUGCAGAUGUUGGCCGGUGGGGCCGUCACCUGAAAAUCAGGUGAAUGUGCUCACAAGCCGAGUGUGGGCCUGAAAAGCAAAACUUUUGUUCUUAUGUAAGUGACUGUUCCCCCCACCCUGGGUGUGCGUGUUCAGUGGCAACCCCAAAAGUUAUGUCCACGUCUCAACUUCCAAACCUGGGAAGGGGACCCUCAUUCGAAAUAGGUCUUUACAGAUGUGAUGAAGUGAAGGAUCUGGCAUAAGACCGUGCUCUAUCACAGUGGUCCUGUAUCCAAUGACAAUGUCCUUACGAGAGACAAGAAGAGAGACACACACAGAGGAGAAGCCACGUGAAGGCGGAGGCAGAGACAGGAGGGACCCAGCCACGAGCCCAGGGAUGCCUGGAGCCCCAGAAGCUGGAAGAGGCACGAAGGACCCUCCUCUGGAGCCUCAGGAGGGAGUACAGCCCUGCCUGGAUCUCAGCGGUCCUGCCCUGGCUGGAUCUCAGCAGUCCUGCCCUGGCUGGAUCUCAGCGGUCCUGCCCCUCCUGGAUCUCAGUGGUCCUGCCCCCCUGGAUCUCAGUGGUCCUGCCCCACCAGGAUCAGGAUCCCUGCCCUGCCUGGAUGUCAGACUUCUAGUCUCCAGAGCUGGGAGAGCAUGAAUUCCUGUGGUUUUAUGCACCCAGGUUAUGGGAAUUUGUUAUGGAUGCCCCAGGAACUAACACCCUGGGUCCUUGUUAAAACGGGAAGACUCUAGUGAAAUAAAACCAGGCAUCUGUGCUUUGAUCCAGCUGGUACGAGUGGCCCUCGAGGAGGCUCCAGCUACUCUGUCUACUGAGUACACUUUGCCCAUUUUGUGUAGUUUAAACAUCGGGGGAAAGUCCAAGGAGAUCAGUCCUUCUCCCAAAGAAUGCCCGGGGAAGCCCGGUACUGGGUCUCAUGAGAGAGCGUGAGGUUUCUGUGGGUUUUUUUGUUUGUUUGUUUUGUUUUGUUUUUGUUUUUGUUUUAAGAGGUAUCGGUCGGUCUUUGCUCUGUACGUGUCGUGGAAACCUACUUCCGCGCUCCAGAGAGUGAAUCUCUCUGGGUUGGGGCAGGAGUGGAGGAAAAGGCUGGCUGUGUCCUCUCCUUGAGGUCGAAUGGCUACGAUGCUCAGUGCAGCACGAAGAGCACAGGACGGACACGUGGGCACCGUCUCUGUGCCCGGGGUCCACGGGGGACGUGGGAGCCCCCUCAGGGCUCCGCCUUCUGGCCUCCAAGCACGAAGCUUCCUGGAGGUGCUUUGCCUCGUUUUUAAUUCAUCGAGACUGCUUCCUGAUCCGUCAGAGGAAGGCCACAGACCUUGACAAAUACCUCUUUGUCCCGUGCUCAGCACUCGUUUGGAGAAAUAAAAGUUACAUAGAAAAAUGCCCCCUUUUCCGUUUUCAUCUCUGAUGGAAUUCGCUGCUGACCCCCUGGUUCCCCACGGCUCCGUUUCAGGGUUUGAUGAUACGGAAAAGAAUUUUGUAUUUGGAUAAUAAAAUUUCCUUACUCGCCUUCCGCAA
This is a long non-coding RNA of Herpailurus yagouaroundi (jaguarundi), 1905 nucleotides long. RefSeq lists it as uncharacterized. Lineage: Eukaryota; Metazoa; Chordata; Mammalia; Carnivora; Felidae. The transcript is spliced from 2 exons. The record is from RefSeq and is a predicted model, not a curated record.